UGAUGUUUAACGCCGCUAACCCUUUUGUUUGUCUCGUGUUUAGAUGAGACGAAUCUCCCAGCAGACAUCCCGAGCUAUCUGUCAUCUCAGGGAACGCUAGCGGAGCGUCAGGACGGAUUCAUGGCGUCUGAGAGUGGCAGCAGCCAUCAGUACAUCAGCUCCUCCACGGGAGGAUUUUACAUGCCACCCAAAGACCUCAACAGUGAGACGUGACCACUGCUCUCUUUAUAUACACAGAAAUGCACUGUAAAAAAUACACAUACAGUGGGUACGGGACAUCCCGAGCUAUCUGUCAUCUCAGGGAACGCUAGCGGAGCGUCAGGACGGAUUCAUGGCGUCUGAGAGUGGCAGCAGCCAUCAGUACAUCAGCUCCUCCACGGGAGGAUUUUACAUGCCACCCAAAGACCUCAACAGCCUCUGCCAGCUGGACACAGGAAGUGAUGCGGACAUGGAGGCGGCGAUCGACCCCCUGCUGUGCCAUUAUCAGGGGCCUGUGGGUUCACUGCUGAGACGGAGCAACCGCUACAGCCCCGAUCUGCACGACAGCUGCAGCGCGUGUGCGUCCGUCGGAGCCGCUUCCUCCUGCAGCAGGAAGUGUGAGUUCUACACCUGCAGCUCCGCCCUCGAGCCCUUCGAUCACAUGAUGAUGCAGCUGGGGGACACUUCCUGUGUGGAGGACUGUGAGAGCGGACAGUGCGUUCUGGGCUCCUCGGGGUCAUAUAUGGGUACGUUUGGGAAAGCGGCGUGGCGGCCGCAGCAGGAGCUCUGCGCUCAUAACGCCGUCAUUCUUCAGGAGAAUCCGUACGCAGCGCUUCACGCCGACUCAGACCUGGACGAGGAGCACGCGAGCGUUUACCAGCAGCCGCUUGAUCACCGGACGAUAGAGAGCGUUCCCACGUCACCGCUGGGCUCUUAGCGCCUUCGACACGACGACGACCAAAAACCAGAAACGCUCUACCUCAAGACAAGAGCUGCGACUGAAUGUAAAUGACACGUUUGUACAGAAAAACAGAUUAUAUGCAUUUUAUACCAAAUUAUAUUUUGUAAAUUAAUAGUGUAAAUAUGACCCUUAUUUUUCUCUUUUCCUGCGAUAUAUGCGACAGAUCGAGGACUAGUUUAACUGUGGACUCUAGUUUGAUCCGGAUCUGUUUAUGAUGUUUAUUCCGCUUUGGCUUUUGCUUUGAAUAAAGCACCAUUUGCACAAACUAGUACACAAUAAACAUUCCCGUGAGCUGCUACACUUGUGAACGCUUGCGUCAUCUUUUUUGAUUGUGCCGAUGUGCUUUUAUUCUUCAUGGGAUCAGGUUUGGAGAAAUGUAGCAUUGCAUCAGUGUCUCAGCAAUGGAUGCCCUGCAGUGAAUGGGUGCCGUCAGAACGAGAGCUGAUAGAAACGUCACAAUAAUCCAC
This 1407-nucleotide long non-coding RNA is filed under the name Sinocyclocheilus grahami. RNAcentral describes it as "lncRNA (ENSSGRG00000051293.1)". The record is from RNAcentral. Lineage: Eukaryota; Metazoa; Chordata; Actinopteri; Cypriniformes; Cyprinidae.